Non-coding RNA from Kogia breviceps (pygmy sperm whale), 565 nucleotides. Lineage: Eukaryota; Metazoa; Chordata; Mammalia; Artiodactyla; Physeteridae. The record is from RefSeq and is a predicted model, not a curated record.
AGGGAGGAGGCCGGCCAAGAUGUUUUGGAGCAUAAUUGUGUUAUUAGGGUGGCUCAUAAAAUAAGAGAGCUUCCAGAGGCGCUGUGAUCGGGAUGCGGGCCACAUUCGAGGAAGGAGGUUGAAUGCAUUUUGAAAAACUGUUUGAAAAUUGGAUUGACACCUGAAACUAAUACAACGUGGGCUUCCCUGGUGGCACAGUGGUUAAGAAUCCACCUGCCAAUGCAGGGGACGUGGGUUUGAGCCCUGAUCUGGGAAGAUCCCACAUGCCACGGAGCAAAUAACCCCAUGCGCCACAACUACUAAACCUGUGCUCUAGAGCCCAUGAGCCACAACUACCGAGCCCACAUGCCACAACUACUGAAGCCUGCGCCUAUAGCCCGUGCUCUGCAACUGCAACAAGAGAAGACAUCGCAGUGAAGAGCGGCCCCCGCUCACCGCAGCUAGAGAAAGCCCGCGCGGCAACAAAGACCCAACGCGGCCAAAAAUAAAUUAAAUAAUUUUUAAAAAUCAAUAUAGUGAAUUACAUAGCCCAGACCCCAGGAGGCUAAAGCAUCUACAUAUGCUU